AACGAACGCUGGCGGCAUGCCUAACACAUGCAAGUCGAACGAGAAAGUUUCUUCGGAAAUGAUUAGAGUGGCGAACGGGUGAGUAACGCGUAGAUAACCUACCUUUGAGACAGGGAUAACUUUUCGAAAGGAGAGCUAAUACCCGAUAACAGGGAACUUCAUAAGGAGUUCCCUUGAAAGCUCCGGCGCUCGAAGAUGGGUCUGCGUCCCAUUAGCUAGUUGGUAGGGUAACGGCCUACCAAGGCAACGAUGGGUAGCGGGUUUGAGAAGAUGAUCCGCCACACUGGCACUGAGACACGGGCCAG
Molecule: ribosomal RNA, 305 nt
Filed under: uncultured bacterium
Lineage: Bacteria
Description: bacterial SSU rRNA
Rfam family: Bacterial small subunit ribosomal RNA
Source: RNAcentral